CCAGCCCGCUCAGAAACUCAAAGGAAUUGACGGGGGCCCGCACAAGCGGUGGAGCAUGUGGUUUAAUCGAUGAUACGCGAGGAACCUUACCUGGGCUCAAAUGUAUGUUGACGUAUUCUGAAAGGGAUACUUCUUCGGACAAUAUACAAGGUGCUGCAUGGUUGUCGUCAGCUCGUGCCGUGAGGUGUCGGGUUAAGUCCCAUAACGAGCGCAACCCCUAUCAUUAGUUGCCAUCAGGUCAAGCUGGGGACUCUAAUGAAACUGCCUACGCAAGUAGUGAGGAAGGUGGGGAUGACGUCAAAUCAGCACGGCCCUUACGUCCAGGGCUACACACGUGCUACAAUGGCCGAUACAAAGGGCAGCGACACUGCGAGGUGAAGCCAAUCCCGUAAAAUCGGUCUCAGUCCGGAUUGGAGUCUGCAACUCGACUCCAUGAAGUUGGAAUCGCUAGUAAUCGUGGAUCAGCAUGCCACGGUGAAUACGUUCCCGGGCCUU
RNAcentral lists this ribosomal RNA (495 nucleotides) under uncultured Sphingobacteriales bacterium. RNAcentral describes it as "partial 16S ribosomal RNA". It matches the Rfam family "Bacterial small subunit ribosomal RNA", at positions 884 to 1382 of the family's 1533-position model. Lineage: Bacteria; Pseudomonadati; Bacteroidota; Sphingobacteriia; Sphingobacteriales. The record is from RNAcentral.